UAGGGGUGAUAGGCCAGUCAAAAGGUGUGAUAACUUGAUUUUUAAGGAAAUACUUUUAGGGUAUUAGACAGAUGGUGAAUGACAAGGUUUAACAUUUAUAUAAGUUUUGUAUUAUUAUUUUGUUUAUUUUUUAAUUACUUAAAUCUAUUCAACUGUAACAUUAAUAUUAUAUUGACUAUAUUAUUUACUUAGACACUUGCAUAAUAAUGUCGAGUAUACAAUGUUAAUAUUAGUAAAAAUAAAAAUUUGUAAUAGGAACUCGGCAAACUUGCUGGUCAACUGUUUAACAAAAACAUAACCGUAUGGUAUUAUAUUCGGCUAUUUCUGCUCAAUGAUGUUAAAUAGCCGCAGUACCCUGACUGUGCAAAGGUAGCAUAAUCAUUUGGCUUUUAAUUGAAGUCUGGCAUGAAUGAAUCUAUGGCUGGCGGCUGUCUUUUACAAGCGUAGUGAAUUUUCUUAAUAAGUGUAAAUACUUAUAUAAAUAUAAUAGACGAGAAGACCCUUGAAAUUUUUACAAAUUGUGUGAUACACUGCACGUUUUUGUUGGGGCGACAAAAUAACAUAAAACUUAUUGUUGUAGAUUUGAACUAAAUGGUGUGUAAAAAUAAAUUACUCUAGGGAUAACAGCAUAAUUUUAAUUAGUUUGUGACCUCGAUGUUGGAUUAGGGACAAAGUUAUUCAGAAGAUAACAUUGCACGUUCUGUUCGAAC
Molecule: ribosomal RNA, 710 nt
Filed under: Helminthoglypta micrometalleoides
Lineage: Eukaryota; Metazoa; Mollusca; Gastropoda; Stylommatophora; Helminthoglyptidae
Description: partial 16S ribosomal RNA
Source: RNAcentral